AAGAGUUUGAUCAUGGCUCAGAUUGAACGCUGGCGGCAGGCCUAACACAUGCAAGUCGAACGGUAACAGAAAGCAGCUUGCUGCUUUGCUGACGAGUGGCGGACGGGUGAGUAAUGUCUGGGAAACUGCCUGAUGGAGGGGGAUAACUACUGGAAACGGUAGCUAAUACCGCAUAACGUCGCAAGACCAAAGAGGGGGACCUUCGGGCCUCUUGCCAUCGGAUGUGCCCAGAUGGGAUUAGCUAGUAGGUGGGGUAACGGCUCACCUAGGCGACGAUCCCUAGCUGGUCUGAGAGGAUGACCAGCCACACUGGAACUGAGACACGGUCCAGACUCCUACGGGAGGCAGCAGUGGGGAAUAUUGCACAAUGGGCGCAAGCCUGAUGCAGCCAUGCCGCGUGUAUGAAGAAGGCCUUCGGGUUGUAAAGUACUUUCAGCGGGGAGGAAGGGAGUAAAGUUAAUACCUUUGCUCAUUGACGUUACCCGCAGAAGAAGCACCGGCUAACUCCGUGCCAGCAGCCGCGGUAAUACGGAGGGUGCAAGCGUUAAUCGGAAUUACUGGGCGUAAAGCGCACGCAGGCGGUUUGUUAAGUCAGAUGUGAAAUCCCCGGGCUCAACCUGGGAACUGCAUCUGAUACUGGCAAGCUUGAGUCUCGUAGAGGGGGGUAGAAUUCCAGGUGUAGCGGUGAAAUGCGUAGAGAUCUGGAGGAAUACCGGUGGCGAAGGCGGCCCCCUGGACGAAGACUGACGCUCAGGUGCGAAAGCGUGGGGAGCAAACAGGAUUAGAUACCCUGGUAGUCCACGCCGUAAACGAUGUCGACUUGGAGGUUGUGCCCUUGAGGCGUGGCUUCCGGAGCUAACGCGUUAAGUCGACCGCCUGGGGAGUACGGCCGCAAGGUUAAAACUCAAAUGAAUUGACGGGGGCCCGCACAAGCGGUGGAGCAUGUGGUUUAAUUCGAUGCAACGCGAAGAACCUUACCUGGUCUUGACAUCCACGGAAGUUUUCAGAGAUGAGAAUGUGCCUUCGGGAACCGUGAGACAGGUGCUGCAUGGCUGUCGUCAGCUCGUGUUGUGAAAUGUUGGGUUAAGUCCCGCAACGAGCGCAACCCUUAUCCUUUGUUGCCAGCGGUCCGGCCGGGAACUCAAAGGAGACUGCCAGUGAUAAACUGGAGGAAGGUGGGGAUGACGUCAAGUCAUCAUGGCCCUUACGACCAGGGCUACACACGUGCUACAAUGGCGCAUACAAAGAGAAGCGACCUCGCGAGAGCAAGCGGACCUCAUAAAGUGCGUCGUAGUCCGGAUUGGAGUCUGCAACUCGACUCCAUGAAGUCGGAAUCGCUAGUAAUCGUGGAUCAGAAUGCCACGGUGAAUACGUUCCCGGGCCUUGUACACACCGCCCGUCACACCAUGGGAGUGGGUUGCAAAAGAAGUAGGUAGCUUAACCUUCGGGAGGGCGCUUACCACUUUGUGAUUCAUGACUGGGGUGAAGUCGUAACAAGGUAACCGUAGGGGAACCUGCGGUUGGAUCACCUCCUUACCUUAAAGAAGC
RNAcentral lists this ribosomal RNA (1548 nucleotides) under Escherichia coli. RNAcentral's name for it is "bacterial SSU rRNA". It matches the Rfam family "Bacterial small subunit ribosomal RNA". Lineage: Bacteria; Pseudomonadati; Pseudomonadota; Gammaproteobacteria; Enterobacterales; Enterobacteriaceae. The record is from RNAcentral.